Chiloscyllium plagiosum (whitespotted bambooshark) is the source of this 924-nucleotide non-coding RNA. Lineage: Eukaryota; Metazoa; Chordata; Chondrichthyes; Orectolobiformes; Hemiscylliidae. The record is from RefSeq and is a predicted model, not a curated record.
UUUUAUUCAUAAGAGGAGGACACCACCGGAUAGGUCAGCAUUUAUUACCAAUCCCUAAAAGCCCACAGGGUAGUUAAGAUUCAAUCGAAUUGCUGUGGGUCUGGUGUCACAUGUAGGCUGACCAGGUAAGGAAUGGCAGUUUCCUUCCCUAAAGGACGUGAAUGAAUCAGAUGGGUUUUACUGACAAUCGAUCAUAGGUCACAAUCAGCCACUUUAGUCCAGAAUUUUGUUGAUGUUAAAACCCACCAUCUGCCAUGUAGCAUUCAUGCGGGUCCCUAGAAUAUCACAGAGAUCUCUGGAUUAACAGUCCACCAAUAACACCACCAGGCCAUCGCACCCUUUUCACUAUUUCCCAACUGUCAGAACCGUCUGACAAUUUCUAUUCUAAAUUGGUCAGAAUAGGAGAGAUUCCUAAUUGCUCAUUAAAAGAAGGAGACAGAUGAUGCAUUCAUCCGCUUAAACGUGGACCAAACGCUAAGCUUAAUCCUCAGAUAUGAGAACAAAGAAGAGACAGAUAUUAAAUGUCCAAAGAUUCCCAAAAGCCAAAAUAGCUAGUCAAAUACAAAACCCAGUGAGGUCCAGAAGACAUUGAUGGUCACACUGGCAUAAAAACAGCUUCCGCGGAAGAAAAUGAGUGGAGUCAAAAGCGUUGUGAAACACGUUUCCAUCAUAAAGUUCACAAGAUUGUUAUCUGUACACAGGAGUUACAUUGUACCGCUUCACCAGAUGGUGUAUAGAAUCGAACGAACACCCCUCCCUCCACACAGUCUAUCCUCUUGCUUCUUAUUUGCGUGGAAUAUUCGCGUAAAUGUUUCCAUCUGCUCCGUUUCUAUCUUGUGAGUGCCCACUGAGGUUCAGUGUGGCGUAUGUGAUACAAUAAUCAUCAGGGUCAGUCUUGGCAUCCUGCAUCCCAGCAGAGGAGAC